UCACUUUAGCACUGUAUAUACUAAAAUUGGAACGGUACAGAGAUUAGCAUGGCCCUGUUCAAGGGUGACAUGUAGAUUCAUGGCGCAUCUCACACCAAU
This 99-nucleotide small nuclear RNA is filed under the name Meriones unguiculatus (Mongolian gerbil). Lineage: Eukaryota; Metazoa; Chordata; Mammalia; Rodentia; Muridae. The record is from RNAcentral.